CUCCAGCCCGCUUCCCAUAUUUGCAGCAUGUCCCGGUGUUCACAGAGCUUGGCUGCCUCCUCUGUCCCAGGAGACGCUUAGAGCUGUCCUCCCAGGGAGUCAUGUCGGCCUCUAGGGUGUGCAUGGAGCUGAGGGGACACUCCUGCUGCCUCCCUGGAGUGGUAAUUAAUGGGGACUUUCCUCCUCCCAGAACCAACAUCCCGGGUAACCGGGUGGCUGAAGGACAGGUGACGUGUCCCUACCUCCCCCCCUUCCCUGCCCGAGGCUCCGGCAUCCACCGUCUUGCCUUCCUGCUCUUCAAGCAGGACCAGCUGAUUGACUUCUCCGAGGACGCACGCCCCUCACCCUGCUAUCAGCUGGCCCAGCGGACCUUCCGCACUUUUGAUUUCUACAAGAAACACCAAGAAGCCAUGACUCCAGCCGGCUUGUCCUUCUUCCAGUGCCGCUGGGAUGACUCCGUCACCUACAUCUUCCACCAGCUUCUAGACAUGCGGGAGCCGGUGUUUGAGUUCGUGCGGCCG
This 521-nucleotide small RNA is filed under the name Pan troglodytes (chimpanzee). RNAcentral describes it as "retained intron". Lineage: Eukaryota; Metazoa; Chordata; Mammalia; Primates; Hominidae. The record is from RNAcentral.